AUGCAGGUCAGGGAGUUCGAGCUCGUCAGGGGGAAAGCACACACCGGGAAGAAGGGCUGGAUCGUGCGCUUCGACGGCGUCGACUCCUUGGACGAGGCCAGGCAGAUAGUUGGUUCGGCUGUUCUCGUGAAGACCGAGGAUAGGCCGGAACUGGAGGAGGAUGAGAUCUAUUCGCUCGAUCUUGUUGGCAUGAGCGUUAUUGUCAAGGAUACAGGCAAGCUUGUAGGCACUGUUGCACAGGUCUUCAAUUUUGGAGGUGGCGAUCUUCUCCAGGUUAUGGUUGGCUCUGCUGAGAAUGCUGUGCAGACUAAUUCAGAAAAUCCGGAUUCAACUCCAUCCCGUCAGCACGUGUGGAUUCCAUUUGCUGAAGAUAUUGUGCCUGAUAUUGAUAUGGAGAGUAGAGAGAUGUGGAUUACACCGCCAAAGGGUCUUCUUGAGGUCAAUACACGUCCUGAGAAAUCAAAGAAAGAAAGGCGUGCGAUGGAUUGGAAGGAAAAGAAGAAACUACAGCGUCGCAUAACUGCAGCAAAGAAGGUACUACAUGAAAUGGAACAGGGUCAUAUUCUGGAAGGUUUGCUAUCAGGAGACAAGCUUGAAAAGGCUUCACUUGCUGAACAAAUUGCGGGCAUUGACUUUCAAUUGUUCAAACAUGCAAUGCAUAGUGUCAGCAAGCAGGUUGACAGUAUGUCAAAGAAUGUUCUUGCCAAGUCUUCAUUAAGAAAAAAUGUGAUGAGGAUACCUCGCGAGACCCUCAUGAACCAUGGAGAGAAAGGGAAGAAUGUCUUCAGUGAUGAAUUUAGCAAAGGUCGUGAGAUCCUUCAAAAGUCGAAAGCAGCAAUCGUACUUAUUACAAAUGGCUCCGACUCUGAUAUUGUGGAUGCUGAGUUUCAGAGAUUGCUUAACUCUUUUAGUGAGUUAAUGAAGGUUGAAGAAAAUCAUAUAUCUCCCCCUUUCAUUAUUAUUUCUCCUGACAAUCAUGUGGAUUCAGUUCGGAACUACUUGGUAGAGAAUGACUAUUUUGGUUUUGACAAUCAGAAGGUAUGGGUCCUUGAAGAGAUGAAACUACCAGUUGUCAGUCUGUCCUCUGAGCUAAUGAGCAAAAAAAUUCUGCUGAAGUCCCCAUGGGAGAUACUUCAAAGGCCAGCCGGAACUGGGGCGAUUUUCAGCUCACUGUCAUCAAAUAAAAUUUUGGAAUCGUUCAAUGCAACGGGCAUAGAGUAUGUGCAGAUAUGCAGCCUCUCCGACGAGCUAGUCCUCGGGCAUCCUCUGCUCUUCGGUGCUGCAAGUUCCCGCGGCGUGGACGUCGGCAUCAAGCUCCGCAAGACCAGCGACAAGACGGAAAAUGGCUUCGAUUUGAUCCUUUCCAUCGACCACCUGAACAAGAUGUGCCGAGACGUGGCCAAGGCCAGGUUCUCCGCCCACCCCGAGCAGCAUGAACACGUCGAGCAUGUCGACGGCCAGUGGGUCGCCGUCCAGCCGGAGGCGCCGAACUCCCACCGGUUGAGCACCGAUGUUACAAGCGUUCUGGACUCUUGCUCUCCUGACAAGCUGUGCGUCAUGCAGAUUGUUGAGUAG
This 1575-nucleotide ribosomal RNA is filed under the name Triticum aestivum (bread wheat). RNAcentral's name for it is "partial small subunit ribosomal RNA". Lineage: Eukaryota; Viridiplantae; Streptophyta; Magnoliopsida; Poales; Poaceae. The record is from RNAcentral.